This 271-nucleotide ribosomal RNA is filed under the name uncultured bacterium. Its description in RNAcentral is "partial 16S ribosomal RNA". It matches the Rfam family "Bacterial small subunit ribosomal RNA", at positions 524 to 794 of the family's 1533-position model. The record is from RNAcentral.
UACGGAGGGUGCAAGCGUUGUUCGGGAUUAUUGGGCGUAAAGCGCGUGUAGGCGGUCUGUUAAGUCUGAUGUGAAAGCCCCGGGCUCAACCCGGGAAGUGCAUUGGAUACUGGCAGACUUGAGUACGGGAGAGGGAAGUGGAAUUCCGAGUGUAGGGGUGAAAUCCGUAGAUAUUCGGAGGAACACCGGUGGCGAAGGCGGCUUCCUGGACCGAUACUGACGCUGAGACGCGAAAGCGUGGGGAGCAAACAGGAUUAGAUACCCUGGUAGU